GGCAACAACAGUUCCACUUGGAAGCUGAAAACCUGAAUCUCAGAGAAGCAGCCCCCAAGGCUGGAGAUACCUCCCCAAGGCCCUGGGAGCACAUCCAUAAUUCUCUUCAGGGUGGGAGAGGCUGAUGUUACUUCCUCAAGGAUGGAUACAAUUAAGAAUGAUGUGCAGAGGAAAGACAUCACCUUGCCCUUACUCAGCAACAGAAAAUACGGUUGAGAUGCAGUCUUAUUGCUAACACCUGACAAACUGAGAAGGAAGUAGAAAACCAUAAACUAAGAAGGCAUUUGGAAGAACUUGUAGAGAAAACAAUUUUGAUGAAAGUAUUGUUGCAAGCCAACAACAAUGACACUGAGUGUUUCACAAAAACCUCUACAAUAGAAAUAAACCUGAAUAUCA
Long non-coding RNA from Oenanthe melanoleuca, 396 nucleotides. RefSeq lists it as uncharacterized. The record is from RefSeq and is a predicted model, not a curated record. NCBI's taxonomy places the organism in Eukaryota, Metazoa, Chordata, Aves, Passeriformes, Muscicapidae. The transcript is spliced from 3 exons.